UUCUCAUCUGAGUUCCACUUCUUCCUCAAUCCACUCUAAGAAAAAGGCAAGUACAGCUACUCUACUUUAGAGUAGAUCCAGCCUCCCUCCGGGUCUCAAUUAGGGUAUGUGGUCCUAUCCUAAAAGAAAGAUCCUAUCUUGCCUCCCUGAAAUAAAGGGUUUUAACUACCUCUGAAGAGGCCCCCCCUUCCGUACCUACUCCGCAAGGUCUCGCUCCUUUCACUUCCUCUUCAACAAGAUAUGACCCUUUUAGUGGCUAUAGUGGCGUACUUAGGUAAUGAAAUUCUCGAC
Molecule: long non-coding RNA, 291 nt
Filed under: Solanum tuberosum (potato)
Lineage: Eukaryota; Viridiplantae; Streptophyta; Magnoliopsida; Solanales; Solanaceae
Description: long non-coding RNA (STUB_LNC006911)
Source: RNAcentral